RNAcentral lists this non-coding RNA (24 nucleotides) under Arabidopsis thaliana (thale cress). Lineage: Eukaryota; Viridiplantae; Streptophyta; Magnoliopsida; Brassicales; Brassicaceae. The record is from RNAcentral.
UAAUGUUGCUUAAUCUAUCACUGC